AUGGCUCAGGAUGAACGCUAGCGGCAGGCUUAACACAUGCAAGUCGAGGGGCAUCGGGAGUAGCAAUACGUUGCCGGCGACCGGCGCAAGGGUGCGUAACGCGUGAGCAACAUGCCCGUAUCAGGGGGAUAAUCCAUGGAAACGUGGUCUAAUACCCCAUAGUAAUUAUGUAAGGCAUCUUAUAUAAUUUAAAGCUUUGGUGGAUACGGAUUGGCUCGCGUGACAUUAGCUGGAUGGUAAGGUAACGGCUUACCAUGGCUACGAUGUCUAGGGGUUCUGAGAGGAAGGUCCCCCCACACUGGAACUGAGACACGGUCCAGACUCCUACGGGAGGCAGCAGUGAGGAAUAUUGGACAAUGGAUGGAAAUCUGAUCCAGCCAUGCCGCGUGCAGGAAAGACGGCCCUAUGGGUUGUAAACUGCUUUUGUAUGGGAGCAAUAAGGGCUACGUGUAGUCCGAUGAGAGUACCAUACGAAUAAGCACCGGCUAACUCCGUGCCAGCAGCUGC
RNAcentral lists this ribosomal RNA (507 nucleotides) under uncultured bacterium. Its description in RNAcentral is "bacterial SSU rRNA". It matches the Rfam family "Bacterial small subunit ribosomal RNA", at positions 19 to 518 of the family's 1533-position model. The record is from RNAcentral.